CUACGGGUUGCUCCAGUGGGGAAUCUUAGACAAUGGGGGAAACCCUGAUCUAGCCAUGCCGCGUGAGCGACGACGGCCCUAGGGUUGUAAAGCUCUUUCAGCAGGGAAGAUAAUGACGGUACCUGCAGAAGAAGUCCCGGCUAACUCCGUGCCAGCAGCCGCGGUAAUACGGAGGGGACUAGCGUUGUUCGGAAUUACUGGGCGUAAAGCGCGCGUAGGCGGAUGGUUAAGUCGGGGGUGAAAUCCCGGGGCUCAACCCCGGAACUGCCCUCGAUACUGGCAGUCUUGAGUUCGAGAGAGGUGAGUGGAAUUCCGAGUGUAGAGGUGAAAUUCGUAGAUAUUCGGAGGAACACCAGUGGCGAAGGCGGCUCACUGGCUCGAUACCGACGCUGAGAUGCGAAAGCGUGGGGAGCAAACAGGAUUAGAUACCCCUGUAGUC
RNAcentral lists this ribosomal RNA (439 nucleotides) under uncultured bacterium. Its description in RNAcentral is "partial 16S ribosomal RNA". It matches the Rfam family "Bacterial small subunit ribosomal RNA", at positions 339 to 795 of the family's 1533-position model. The record is from RNAcentral.